This 253-nucleotide ribosomal RNA is filed under the name uncultured microorganism. RNAcentral describes it as "partial 16S ribosomal RNA". It matches the Rfam family "Bacterial small subunit ribosomal RNA", at positions 524 to 776 of the family's 1533-position model. The record is from RNAcentral.
GACAGAGGUGGCGAGCGUUGCUCGGAUUUACUGGGCUUAAAGGGCGCGUAGGUGGCCUUGUAAGUCAAAGGUGGAAUUCCACAGCUUAACUGUGGAACUGCCUUUGAUACUGCAAGGCUUGAGUCAGGUAGAGGAGGGCGGAAUUCCCGGUGUAGCGGUGAAAUGCGUAGAUAUCGGGAGGAAGGCCGGUGGCGAAGGCGGCCCUCUGGGCCUGUACUGACACUGAGGCGCGAAAGCGUGGGGAGCAAACAGG